GACGAACGCUGGCGGCGUGCCUAAUACAUGCAAGUAGAACGCUGAAGAGAGGAGCUUGCUCUUCUUAGAUGAGUUGCGAACGGGUGAGUAACGCGUAGGUAACCUGCCUUGUAGCGGGGGAUAACUAUUGGAAACGAUAGCUAAUACCGCAUAACAAUGGGUGACACAUGUCAUUUAUUUGAAAGGGGCAAUUGCUCCACUACAAGAUGGACCUGCGUUGUAUUAGCUAGUAGGUGAGGUAACGGCUCACCUAGGCGACGAUACAUAGCCGACCUGAGAGGGUGAUCGGCCACACUGGGACUGAGACACGGCCCAGACUCCUACGGGAGGCAGCAGUAGGGAAUCUUCGGCAAUGGGGGCAACCCUGACCGAGCAACGCCGCGUGAGUGAAGAAGGUUUUCGGAUCGUAAAGCUCUGUUGUAAGUCAAGAACGAGUGUGAGAGUGGAAAGUUCACACUGUGACG
RNAcentral lists this ribosomal RNA (464 nucleotides) under Streptococcus sp. oral taxon C65. Its description in RNAcentral is "bacterial SSU rRNA". It matches the Rfam family "Bacterial small subunit ribosomal RNA", at positions 28 to 474 of the family's 1533-position model. The record is from RNAcentral. Lineage: Bacteria; Bacillati; Bacillota; Bacilli; Lactobacillales; Streptococcaceae.